This 321-nucleotide long non-coding RNA is filed under the name Capsella rubella. RNAcentral describes it as "long non-coding RNA (CRUB_LNC001990)". Lineage: Eukaryota; Viridiplantae; Streptophyta; Magnoliopsida; Brassicales; Brassicaceae. The record is from RNAcentral.
AAAAAUGACACGAGGGGGACCUAAUAUUAUCUACACGUUUAUGAAUACAUUGUGACAAUUCCUUCCUAACUUGCCCGUCCACGUCUUGAUUGAAUGGAUCAUGGAUUAUAUACGUUUUGAUUGGAUACUUCCAUCUGUUUCGUCUUCAUUUUAACAUUUCUACAAAACCCUGCAUUAUUUAUUUUUCGAUGUAUAUUUUCCUAUAUUCGUUAUCUUUGAGCUUUUAUUUAUUUUUUUUAUUUUUUUUUCAAAUACUAUAUUUUUGUAUACUUAUGAGUUAUGACUCAUCCAUCCAACUUUUGUCCCAUAGUUAUAGUUAUU